Molecule: ribosomal RNA, 694 nt
Filed under: uncultured Bacilli bacterium
Lineage: Bacteria; Bacillati; Bacillota; Bacilli
Description: bacterial SSU rRNA
Rfam family: Bacterial small subunit ribosomal RNA
Source: RNAcentral
CCCAACUGAUUGAUGGUGCUUGCACCUGAUUGACGAUGGAUCACCAGUGAGUGGCGGACGGGUGAGUAACACGUAGGUAACCUGCCCCGGAGCGGGGGAUAACAUUUGGAAACAGAUGCUAAUACCGCAUAACAACAAAAGCCACAUGGCUUUUGUUUAAAAGAUGGCUUUGGCUAUCACUCUGGGAUGGACCUGCGGUGCAUUAGCUAGUUGGUAAGGUAACGGCUUACCAAGGCGAUGAUGCAUAGCCGAGUUGAGAGACUGAUCGGCCACAAUGGAACUGAGACACGGUCCAUACUCCUACGGGAGGCAGCAGUAGGGAAUCUUCCACAAUGGGCGCAAGCCUGAUGGAGCAACACCGCGUGAGUGAAGAAGGGUUUCGGCUCGUAAAGCUCUGUUGUUGGAGAAGAACGUGCGUGAGAGUAACUGUUCACGCAGUGACGGUAUCCAACCAGAAAGUCACGGCUAACUACGUGCCAGCAGCCGCAGUAAUACGUAGGUGGCAAGCGUUAUCCGGAUUUAUUGGGCGUAAAGCGAGCGCAGGCGGUUGCUUAGGUCUGAUGUGAAAGCCUUCGGCUUAACCGAAGAAGUGCAUCGGAAACCGGGCGACUUGAGUGCAGAAGAGGACAGUGGAACUCCAUGUGUAGCGGUGGAAUGCGUAGAUAUAUGGAAGAACACCAGUGGCGAAGGCGGC